GUUUUGGCUCAGUGGUAGAGUGCUCGCCUAGCACGUGUUAGGCCCUGGGUUUGAUCCUCAGCAUUACG
RNAcentral lists this transfer RNA (68 nucleotides) under Marmota monax (woodchuck). RNAcentral describes it as "tRNA.Ala". The record is from RNAcentral. Lineage: Eukaryota; Metazoa; Chordata; Mammalia; Rodentia; Sciuridae.